RNAcentral lists this long non-coding RNA (3569 nucleotides) under Ananas comosus (pineapple). RNAcentral's name for it is "long non-coding RNA (ACOM_LNC012149)". Lineage: Eukaryota; Viridiplantae; Streptophyta; Magnoliopsida; Poales; Bromeliaceae. The record is from RNAcentral.
UAAAUAUUUUAUAUAUUGUAUAAAUAAACAAAAAUAAAUUACGUGUAUAUAUAUAUAAUUUAUUCGGGUUUGGAUUCAGAUAAUAUUUCGGAUAUCCAUACCUAUUGACAUCCCUAUUUCUUAUUCCACUUUUCAAUAUAUAAAAAAUACAUACUAAACACGGUGAACCAUUCACCGUGUUUAAACACGGUGAAUGGUUCACACGGUGAAUGGCUCACCGUGUUCAACUUAAUAUACAAACUCGGUCUUGCCCGUGUGACGCUGACGUAGCGCCUGUGUGGCAGGCCCAGGGCCAUUUUUGUAAAUUAAAUUUUGACAGGGCUAUUUUUAAAAUAAAAAUUUACCAGGGGUCUAAAUGCAAACGGUGUAACAAAUCAAUCAAAUAUUUUUUUUUAAAGAUAUAUGUCCUAUCAUGAUUAUAAAAAUAUAUUUUUAUUAUACUUUUGUUUGAAAAAAGAAAUGUGAUUGGUUUGUUAUUGAUGACGUGGUGUACGUGUGUCAGUGUAGAAUUCUUUCCUUGCCACCCCCAUCUUGAAAAAUUCUAGAAUGCACCGGGUGCAUUGGUGACGUGGCGUUACAAACAAAUCAAAAUUUUCCUUUUAAAGAUAUAUAUAUGUCUCAUCACGAUUGUAAAAAUAUAUUUUUAUGAUAUUUUUGUUUGAAAAAAGAAAUAUAAUUAGCUUGUUAUUAAUGACGUGGUGCAAGUGUGACAGUGUAGAAUUCCUCCCCCAUCUUCUAUCUCUCUCUCUCUCUCUCUCUUUCUCUCUCUCUCAUAACUGCCUCUGCGCGUACGCCUCUCAGCCACCCGCGGUGACCUCUCUCUCAUAACUGCCCCCCCCCUGCGCGUCCACCCCGCUCCACCCCAACCCCCCAAACCCGCGGCGAUCAAAGAUGGUGCGCUUCGUUUUAGGUUUUCAUAGAAGAAGGCGAGGAAUGCGGCAGCGGAUCAAUGGGCAGCGGCGGAGGUGAUCACCACGGUGGCGAAGGUCACGACCAUGGCGAUGAAAGGGAAGCAGGGGCCUUCAGGAAGAAGGUCUGGAGCAUGACGUAGAGCCCUACUACCGUCCUCCGAACGGAAACUAGAAUAAAAAACCUUCCCUAAUUCUCCUCCUCACCCCAGCAAUUCCACAAAACGAGCGGAAGGGUACCGUUUCCUCACCUUUGAUCCAAUCUUACAUUCCUAAUUUUAUUGCUGCGAUGUAGACAAGUAGAUUGUCGUUUGUUGCCAUCCAGCUUGGAAGAAGCUAAGUAGGAAUAUGCAGGAAAAGCACAAGUUCAACAUCCUAAGGUUACUGUUGAUGAAAAAGUCUAUCUACCACCACCUCCAACCAAUCGUGAUGCUCAUGGACCAUUUUGAUACUUCCGUUUUCAAUAAAUUAUGCCAGAUUAAUCAUGUUCCGUGCUCUUUCAGAAUUUUUUAUACCUUGAACAUCUUAAUUUGAUUGUAUUUGGUAUAUCAUGUUAUUUCUUAUUGCAUAUCUUUAAGAGUUUGCUGGAGAAGUUUGGUUUUGACAGAGCGCAUUAAACUCCUGUCACGUAGGUUGUAUUCUUUAUGCUUUAUUCAUCUAAUCAUCUAAUCAGUAUAGUGUUAUUCUCUUUUAUAUAUAUAUAUAUAUAUAUAUAUAUAUAUAUAUAUAUAUAUAUAUAUUAAGAUCCCGCUACUAAUCUCUUUAUGAGUAACGAUCGCCUUUGUAAUAUAUAAAAAGUUAAGGUCCGCAUAUACUCUUAUAGAUAAUACUGAUCUGCUCCUCGUACUCAUAAGUUGUUUUCGAUGGUAGAGCUUCGGAAUCGACGAUCCAUAUCGUUAAAUAUUAUUUAGAGCAUUUAAAACUUCUAGAAAUUAAAUUUCAUAAUUUUUCAACAUCAUUUACCUUACGAUCAAACGCUCACAAAAUUGAUAAUUUUUAACGGCCGGUAUGGAAUACUUGAUAGUUUAACAGUGUAAAAGAAUUAGAAUAGAUUAAAUUUUUGAUAUAAAAUUCUAUUCACUACCUAGAUAAAGUUCAAUAACUCCGAUCUUAAAUUGAAGGAUCUGAUCAUCCAUUUUUAGGACAUCGUUCGAUUUUGACCGUUCAUUUUAUACCCGUUUGAUGGACUUUAUUAUGAUUUCGAAAAAUUAUGAAAUUUAUUUUUUAGAAGCUUCAAAUACUCUAGAUCAUAUUUAACGGAGUGGAUCGUCGAUUCGGAAGCUCCGUCAUCGAAAACAACUUAUCAGUACGAAGGGCCCAAUACUCAUAAGAGUAUAGUAGCCAUACUCUCUCUCUCUCUCUCUCUCUCUCUCUCUCUCUCUCUCUCUCUAUAUAUAUAUAUAUAUAUAUAAACUCUGUUGGUUUUUGAACAAUUCUAACUAACGACUUUCUUUCUCUUAAUGAACUAUUGUUUCUCUUAAAUGUUUAUUCCGGCUUACCUUCUAAGCUCUUUCUCAAACAAUUUUAACCAGUUAAUUUCUUCACCUUUCUCUCUUAGGAUUCCUUCCUUAAGACUAAUUUCUUAUAUUUCUCUUUUGCCUUUGUUCUUUCAUGUUGUCUUUACCAGAAUUGGUGUUGGUGCAAUGUAUCAUGGCCUUCGACCUAUUGUGGAAUUCAUGACAUCCAACGUCUUCACGCAGGUACAUAGCUUUGUUUUGUAUAUGUAGUUUAAAAUGUGUAGUGCUAAAUUUAUUCAACUUAUUAAACUCAAUGGGUCACUAUAUAGGAGAUAGAGCUUAGUAUUUGAUUGGUUGUAAAUCAGUUGAUUAAACAUUGGCUCUUAGUCCUUUGAAAACUAAAUAUAUGAUGUAGCUAUGUACAUUAGUAUUAUUAGUUCUCCAUUUAUGAAUAAAUUAUGUGAAAAAGAUUUAUACAUCCUCCACUUAUAAUUAACAUAUAUCUUACUUUUCUAUCAAGAGGACUUAUUAUUGAGGAUUAGACAUCAUAUAUCGGAAAAAAGUAGAUAAUUAUAGUGGAGGAUGUAUAAAUCUUUUUCACAUAAUUUAUUCAUAAAUGGAGAACUAAUAAUACUAAUGUACAUAGCUACAUCAUAUAUUUAGUUUUCAAAGGACUAAGAGCCAAUGUUUAAUCAACUGAUUUACAACCAAUCNACUUAUUAUUGAGGAUUAGACAUCAUAUAUCGGAAAAAAGUAGAUAAUUAUAGUGAAAAUAAGGAGAAAAGAACAAACAAAGAAGCACAUGGUAAUGGAGAUUGCUUUGCACAUGAACCUGAAUAAAGCUUUCAUCGAAUUAGGUUGCAAGGGUUCACAAAUAAUUGUUAUGAAAUUAAGAAUCAUCCAUAGUGAGGGGAAAAAAAAAAGUAAGAACAAUGUAAUCCAAAAUGUUACAGUUGGUAAUCUUUCAUGGUAAAAAGUAAAUUCAUUGUGAGGCCGAAUACUAAAUGUAAAAAAUUGAUAGACAAAGAUUGGUCAUUACGAAGAGAAAUAGAUGUGAUAGAAAGCAGUUUAUAGAGAAACUAAUAGCUUACAAAUAGCUUACAAAUAGUUGAUUAAAAGCAAACCUUAACUAAGACAGAAACAUAAUACUGAAGAUUCAAAAAAUAUAACUAAGACGGAAGCAUAAUAUAGAAGAUUUAAAAAA